UUUUGUAUUUUAAAAGUAGAUGUAUAAGCAAAAUUUUGAUGUUUUGGUUAAAAAUCAACAUUUUGUAAGCUAAAGUUGAUAAGCUAAUGUACGCUCUUAUCCCUAACAGAUGGUAUCGAUACAAAGGUCUACUUUUCUAGUUCCGAUUAUGUGCAUGGUUUCUCAUUCUAUAAAUAUAAACUUUCAAAAUACGUCACUACCUCUUUUUUUUCCCUAUAUCCUCAUAUACACACUCACUAAGCCAUAUUUACGCAUGCGCACUAUCAAAGCUACAUUGGUAACUAUGACAACAAAAUUUACACGCAUGCGCACAUGACGUGAACCGGUCCUUCUUCUGUAAACAUUUGAAAGCCUCGAUUCAUUAUUCAAACUCAGAAAUGCCAACAAAAGGUUAUAUGUUUGGAAAGAAAAAACGUUACUGUAAGCCCAGAGGAAGACAUGCUUCAAAGACAAAUGCAUAAUUACAAAGCUCUGUUUUGGAUACAGCUGGAUCUGAAGCAGCAACAACGCAGCCUGCAAGUGCAGCUGAACGAAAAAUAAUUCUAACUGCAAUUACUAACGCUGAUAACACCAAUAAGAGGCUGCCUGAAGAUUUCAUAUACGUCAUGAUGAAUUCAAUGGAAUUGACCACAAUGGUCUCCUUGUUGUGCUGUCCACAUUGCUUCGACAAAAAAUUAACCAUGUGCAUCACACAAUCAAAAGGCAUGGCUCAUUUGAUUAAAAUCAAAUGCCUAAAUUGUGAAAUAUAUUUGUGGCCUGACUUGACCUCAAAAAAAAGUAAUAAUGUUCAUCUGGAUAUUAAUGUCCGCGCUGUCGCUGCAUUAAAAGAAUCUGGAAUCUCGCAUUCUAAAUUUGAUAGGUUUUGUGGACUUAUGAGUAUGCCCUGCAUGCACAGAAAUACUUAUAACAAUCUAGCUAACAUAGUCAACACUGCUAUAAUUGAAGCUGGUGAAGAAUGUAUGAUUAGGGCAUCUGCUGUUGUGCAUGGAAGAAACAUUUCACAACCUCUGACUACAGAUGAUAGAAUAAGUUCAACAGGCUGUCCUGUUAUUACAGUUUCUUUCGAUGGGACUUGGCAUAAAAGGGGCCACUCAUCUCAAUCAGGAAUUGGCACAGUUAUUGAUUUUGAUACUGGACUCGUCAUCGUCACCGAAGUCCUAUCAAAUUAUUGCUGUGUUUGUGAUUCAAACUCUGCAGAACUAAAUUUUGAUGCCUCUAAGCAUAUGUGUCAAAAAAACUUCAGUGGCUCAGCAAAUGCAAUGGAGGCCGCAGCAGCAUCCAAAAUUUGUUCUCACUCUGUGGCAUCAGAAAACUUGUUUAUGGCAUGAUGCUGUGUGAUGGCGAUAGUAAAUCACAUUCAUCUGCCAUUACCAACUCAGGAUAUGAUGUAGAAAUCUUAAAAGAGGACUGUAUUAACCACAUCUCAAAAAGAAUGUUUAAUGCUUUGAACAAUUUAAAAAUGUCUAACAAAAAAGAACUAAAUUAUAGGCUUACAAAGCCAAAAAUUGAAAAAAUUACAAAUAACUAUUCCAAAGUUCUGCGCCAAAAUGCUCCUGACAUUCAAAAAAAUGAAGCUGGCUGUUAUGGGCUCAUUUUUUCAUAUGAUGAGCUCAGACCUAGAUCAUAACCACAGGUUGUGUCCUGAUGGCACUACAUCUUGGUGUCACACUUUAAGAGAUCAGAGGCACUAAAACAGCCAUACAAAAAACAUAAUCAGACCAUCACAUCAGAAAUAGGAAAACUGUUAUUUCCUAUAACAGACACAGAUCUGUUAAAAACAUGUUCAAGAAUGGGAACACAAAAGGCCAAUGAAUCUUUUCAUUCCCUCAUUUGGCAAAGAUGCCCCAAAACAGAAUUCGCAACAUUAAAAACUAAGGACGGCGACAUACCUUGCUGUUUUAGCCUUCAAUAAUGGCAUUAAAUCAGUUUUUGACAUAUUAGGCGUUCCCUGGACACUAAAGAACAUUUCUUCUAGUGAGAAAAAGCAAAAUGUCAAACUACAGCUUGUUGUUAGAAAAAGAAGAUCAAUCACAUUAGUGUCCAGGAGAAAAAAAUUGAAAAAGCAAAGAAUUGAGCAUGAGCACCGGGCAGAGGUUCUAGAAGGUCCAAUCUAUCAAUCAGGCCAUUUUAAUGAAUAGUUUUUUUUUAUUAUCUAUUAUGUUAUAUUAUGUAAAUAUUCCCUUUUUUUUUCAUUUUUAUGGUUGCAAUAAAUAUUUUAUAUCAUUUUAAAAACUUUAAA
Molecule: long non-coding RNA, 2239 nt
Organism: Biomphalaria glabrata
Lineage: Eukaryota; Metazoa; Mollusca; Gastropoda; Planorbidae
Exons: 2
Source: RefSeq, a predicted model, not a curated record